RNAcentral lists this ribosomal RNA (267 nucleotides) under Triticum aestivum (bread wheat). RNAcentral describes it as "partial small subunit ribosomal RNA". The record is from RNAcentral. Lineage: Eukaryota; Viridiplantae; Streptophyta; Magnoliopsida; Poales; Poaceae.
AUGGGGUCCAAUGAGGCGGACAAGCCGUUGCGGCGGAUCGGUGCGUUGUUCGAGCAGCUCGCGGCCGUCGCCAAGCCACAGCAGCAGCCCGCGAUGGCGGCGGGGGACUUCUCGCGUGCCUGCUCCAACGUCUCCGUCCUCUUUGGCUGCCUCGGCAUCGCCUUCAAAUUUUCCUUGAUGGACUACGUCGCUAAGGCAAGCGGCCGCUCCUCAGCCCCCCUCUCCUCCCCCGCUACCUGCUCUGCUGUCAGGUCUACGCCCGCAUGA